AAUGGACGAAAGUCUGACGGAGCAACGCCGCGUGAGUCAUGAAGGCUUUCGGGUCGUAAAACUCUGUUGUUAGGGAAGAACAAGUACGAGAGUAACUGCUCGUACCUUGACGGUACCUAACCAGAAAGCCACGGCUAACUACGUGCCAGCAGCCGCGGUAAUACGUAGGUGGCAAGCGUUAUCCGGAAUUAUUGGGCGUAAAGCGCGCGCAGGCGGUUUCUUAAGUCUGAUGUGAAAGCCCACGGCUCAACCGUGGAGGGUCAUUGGAAACUGGGGAACUUGAGUGCAGAAGAGAAAAGCGGAAUUCCACGUGUAGCGGUGAAAUGCGUAGAGAUGUGGAGGAACACCAGUGGCGAAGGCGGCUUUUUGGUCUGUAACUGACGCUGAGGCGCGAAAGCGUGGGGAGCAAACAGGAUUAGAUACCCUGGUUAGUCCACGCCGUAAACGAUGAGUGCUAAGUGUUAGAGGGUUUCCGCCCUUUAGUGCUGCAGCUAACGCAUUAAGCACUCCGCCUGGGGAGUACGGUCGCAAGACUGAAACUCAAAUGAAUUGACGG
Molecule: ribosomal RNA, 556 nt
Filed under: Bacillus sp. LMG 19423
Lineage: Bacteria; Bacillati; Bacillota; Bacilli; Caryophanales; Bacillaceae
Description: bacterial SSU rRNA
Rfam family: Bacterial small subunit ribosomal RNA
Source: RNAcentral